Non-coding RNA from Danio rerio (zebrafish), 152 nucleotides. NCBI's taxonomy places the organism in Eukaryota, Metazoa, Chordata, Actinopteri, Cypriniformes, Danionidae. The record is from RefSeq and is a predicted model, not a curated record.
CACACCUUCUUGGUCAUAUGUGGUGAUAAUAAUGAAGAUUAUAUUUGGACCUGAAACAUCUGCUAGACUCCAGGAAAGGUGGCAUCAAUACUGGACUUGAAAGGGCCUAACUGCUGGGAGAGUCAAGUUGUGGAUCAUCAUGAAGAUUUUCA